GUUGUGAUCUCUGUAUAUUUUCGAAAAUAAUGUAUUUGAUAGCUGAAAAUUGAAAAUAUUGAAUGAAAUUCGUUCACAAGUUAUCAUCUACAAUUUUCUGAAAACUUCGUAUAUCUGUAUAUGAAACAUGAUACCUCUUGUGAAAUGAAAUCAUUAUGUACAUAUUGUUAAUUUAUCCUAUUUCCCGCCAAUCUUUCCUUCCCGUCAUGCAAUGGUGUAAAUAAAGCGUCUGAAGAAAAGUUGUCAUCCACUCAAUCAUUUGAAUUUGAUCUUUAAUGCUAGAAUUCUUUGGAGUGUAUGUUCAGAACAAAACAUGGACCAACGAGAGUACAGAAGUUACGUUGGCAUUCUGCACUUCAAUCCUGGGAAAAACAUCAUGAAUGGGGUUGACCUCUACAAGAAUGGACGAUUCGUAAACCAAAUUAAACAAAAGAUAGACAAAGAAAUGUCCAGUGAGAUCUCAAGAGUUCGCACAAUGAGCAUAGGAUCUGGCGAGCCUGCCCCACCCCCAACUGGAUCCUCCUCUGUUAUUUCACAAUCCUCAUCCACCACAAGUUUGCCGUAUUAGUUCAGUGUGUUUUCCCGUUCUCAGUAGCUCUGUGUGUUUGACAUUUGAAUUUCUAUAUUUAUUUGUUAAGUUUCAAAUGGACCUCAUUUAUAUAGAGCAAUGUAUUUUAACAAUAAAAUGAUUUUCAGUUUCA
Long non-coding RNA from Ostrea edulis (European flat oyster), 701 nucleotides. RefSeq lists it as uncharacterized. The transcript is spliced from 2 exons. NCBI's taxonomy places the organism in Eukaryota, Metazoa, Mollusca, Bivalvia, Ostreida, Ostreidae. The record is from RefSeq and is a predicted model, not a curated record.